Long non-coding RNA from Metopolophium dirhodum (rose-grain aphid), 1874 nucleotides. RefSeq lists it as uncharacterized. Lineage: Eukaryota; Metazoa; Arthropoda; Insecta; Hemiptera; Aphididae. The transcript is spliced from 8 exons. The record is from RefSeq and is a predicted model, not a curated record.
UUUUUUCGUGUCUAGCAGGUCAGUCACCUCAGUUAUCGGGGUAGGCAAUCGUCGGAUAGCGGACAAUGUGGGAUGGCCGGGUCACGGCAACAGGUAUGCAAUCCGACUGCGUCGAAUAGCGGAAAGCGUUCAUUACUGUCACCGAAAACGCAAAUUUAAGUAAUAAAUUCCGUGAAAAAAAAUUCAAAACAUUUCGGGCGUCCAUGCAAAUUAUACAGCCGCAAUAUAUUUUUGGUUGCCUAGCAGGUCAGUCACCUCGAAUGAAGUUUGCCGAAGUAAUAAGGGCCUACUUCGUCGGAUAGAGGACAACGUCUGACUUCUAUGACACGGCAACAGGUAUACAAUGGUCAUUACUGCUGCAGAAAACGCAUAUUAAGUCAGUCACCUCAGUUAUUCGGAUAGGCAAUCCGACUUCGUCAGAUAGCGAACAAUGUGCGACGGCCAGGCCACGUUGUCAGGUAUGCAAUCUGACUGCGUCGAAUCGCGGACAGCGUUCAUUACUGUCACUGAAAACCCAAAAUUAAGUAAUAAAUUACGUGAAAAAAAUUCAUAAAAUUUCGAGCGCAUAUACUCAAGCCUGUAUAUAGUAAUAGUGACACUACAAAGGCAAUCUCCUCGAUGUCAAUCGGCCUGAGACUCGUCGAUGUCAAUGUACGGCCGCGCGCAGCCUAUAAAUUUGGCAGGGAACGCGAAUACAAUCCGAACGGGGUCGUACGAAAUCCGUAAUGGUGGUGAAACUCAAAUUUUCGUUAAAUAGACGGCAGAAGUGAUAGCAAAAGGUAUUUUAAAACUGUUAAUGAGUUUCAACAUCCUCACGUUCCCCUACACCGGAUGCAAAGUCAAAUGAAUUCAGUCAUUGUUUGAUGGGCACUUAUAAGAAAGCUACAUAUAAAAUCAAGGUCGUUAUUGAGAGAAGAUAUACGGCAGUUACCCUUUGACCAACUUGAGGUGGUGUUGCAUAGCAAGUCGAGGGAUAUUUUCGAUUUUUUUUGUCCGAAUGCAGCGCAGCGAGCGAGUGGCAACGUGGGCAUCACUGACGUCCACCAAAACUUUACGGGGUGUCCCGUAAAGUAGAAAAUGGUACACGUUUCAAUGUGACAUAUUAUUUUGCUGUUGUUUUGAUUGCAAUAUUGCCUUUAAAUCUGGGAAAAUAUUGGACAGAAUAACUAGCAUAUCGUCCUUAACACGUGGACGGACAGUAACUAGACAACUACCAUAGCAGUCAUACUAAUUGAAGUAGUAAUAUGACCAUAAAAAAUUUUCUUAUACACAGUAUAGAUGACACGUCUCAAGUAUUUAUCAUUAGCGGAUAUAUUUUAUGUUAUGACAUUUAAACAUUUAAACAUAAUAUACCUAUUUUAUCAGUUCCACGCACUCAUAUGUUUCAAUAGCGUCUCUGCCGAGCUACAUGUUCGGAAGACGGGUUUUUCGGCGGGUACAUCACUCGCCGAUGACGAGCUUUCAUCAUCAAUAUCCCGGUCCUCAAACUUACUAUAGAUUUUCCAACUUUUUGCGGAUAUAUUUUAUGUUAUGACAUUUAAACAACUUAAACAUAAUAUACCUAUUUUAUCAGGUACCAGUACGGAAUGUCGAUUAUUGCGAUAAAAGUAUGGAUAAAGUAAUUUCCUGGGAUUGUGAUCCGGCGUCCAAUGUCUCUUACGAUUGGAGUAAGAUGGAUAAAUAAUUUCCAAAAUCGUAAUUUCCAAAAUCGUAAUCGGCAGAACCUGAUGUUUGUUAUCCUUAUGGACGUAAUAAUUCUCUUUUUUAUAUUGUUUUAUUUAUAUUGUUUAUAUUGCAUUUUGUAUAUUGUAUUAUAUUUUGUAUUGUAUCAUAUUUUGUAUUGUAUCGUAUUUUGUAUUGUAUUAUAUUUUGUA